GGUGACCAGGAGGGGAGCAGCUGGGACGUCGCCGCACUCCAGAGCCUGCAGACGGCAUGUCCUGGAAAAACUCGCAGGAACCAGCAAAGGGAGCAAUAGAGAGCAUGAGAGCACCAGCAGAAGAGGGAGAGGGAGAGAGAAUCUCAAGCUGACUCCCUGCUGAGUGGAGCCCAG
RNAcentral lists this long non-coding RNA (174 nucleotides) under Mustela putorius furo (domestic ferret). RNAcentral describes it as "lncRNA (ENSMPUG00000025731.1)". Lineage: Eukaryota; Metazoa; Chordata; Mammalia; Carnivora; Mustelidae. The record is from RNAcentral.